Molecule: long non-coding RNA, 281 nt
Filed under: Salmo salar (Atlantic salmon)
Lineage: Eukaryota; Metazoa; Chordata; Actinopteri; Salmoniformes; Salmonidae
Description: lncRNA (ENSSSAG00000094517.1)
Source: RNAcentral
GUUCGGGUCAGGGUAAGAAACAAUCCCAAUUCAACCCAUCCCAGCCUAUUGUAUCCCGGCAGGCUAGGGUCAGGGUAAGAAACAAUCCCAAUUCAACCCAUCCCAGCCGAUUGUAUCCAGGCAGGCUAGGGUCAGGGUAAGAAACAAUCCCAAUUCAACCCAUCCCAGCCUAUUGUAUCCAGGCAGGCUAGGGUCAGGGUAAGAAAACAUGUAACGUAUUUCACUGUUGUGACGUUAACUUUGCUCGGGUGAUUAAUUGUAAUCCCUUUGUUGUUUUUUCU